RNAcentral lists this ribosomal RNA (292 nucleotides) under uncultured bacterium. RNAcentral describes it as "partial 16S ribosomal RNA". The record is from RNAcentral.
GGACUACCCGGGUAUCUAAUCCUGUUUGCUCCCCACGCUUUCGCGCCUCAGCGUCAGUCUGUGUCCAGGGCGCCGCCUUCGCCACCGGUGUUCUUUCCGAUAUCUACGCAUUUCACCGCUACACCGGAAAUUCCACGCCCCUCUACACGACUCUAGUCUUCCAGUAUGAGAUGCAACUCCCAGGUUAAGCCCGGACCUUUCACAUCUCACUUAAAUAACCGCCUACGCGCCCUUUACGCCCAGUAAUUCCGAUUAACGCUCGCACCCUCUGUAUUACCGCGGCUGCUGGCAC